This 72-nucleotide transfer RNA is filed under the name Naumovozyma dairenensis CBS 421. Its description in RNAcentral is "tRNA-Leu (TAG) (tRNA-Leu-TAG-3-1)". It matches the Rfam family "tRNA". Rfam says of the family: Transfer RNA (tRNA) molecules are approximately 80 nucleotides in length. Their secondary structure includes four short double-helical elements and three loops (D, anti-codon, and T loops). Further hydrogen bonds mediate the characteristic L-shaped molecular structure. tRNAs have two regions of fundamental functional importance: the anti-codon, which is responsible for specific mRNA codon recognition, and the 3' end, to which the tRNAs corresponding amino acid is attached (by aminoacyl-tRNA synthetases). tRNAs cope with the degeneracy of the genetic code in two manners: having more than one tRNA (with a specific anti-codon) for a particular amino acid; and 'wobble' base-pairing, i.e. permitting non-standard base-pairing at the 3rd anti-codon position. The record is from RNAcentral. Lineage: Eukaryota; Fungi; Ascomycota; Saccharomycetes; Saccharomycetales; Saccharomycetaceae.
GGGCGUGUGGUCUAGUGGUAUGAUACCCGCUUUAGGUGCGGGUGGCCCGGGGUUCAAUUCCCCGCUCGCCCC